AUCCCAUCAGAACUCCGAAGUUAAGCGUGCUUGGGCGAGAGUAGUACUAGGAUGGGUGACCUCCUGGGAAGUCCUCGUGUUGCAUCC
This 87-nucleotide ribosomal RNA is filed under the name Epimedium acuminatum. The record is from RNAcentral. Lineage: Eukaryota; Viridiplantae; Streptophyta; Magnoliopsida; Ranunculales; Berberidaceae.